Molecule: ribosomal RNA, 495 nt
Filed under: uncultured bacterium
Lineage: Bacteria
Description: partial 16S ribosomal RNA
Rfam family: Bacterial small subunit ribosomal RNA
Source: RNAcentral
GACGAACGCUGGCGGCGUGCCUAAUACAUGCAAGUAGAACGCUGAAGGAGGAGCUUGCUCUUCUGGAUGAGUUGCGAACGGGUGAGUAACGCGUAGGUAACCUGCCUGGUAGCGGGGGAUAACUAUUGGAAACGAUAGCUAAUACCGCAUAAGAGUAGAUGUUGCAUGACAUUUACUUAAAAGGUGCAAUUGCAUCACUACCAGAUGGACCUGCGUUGUAUUAGCUAGUUGGUGGGGUAACGGCUUACCAAGGCGACGAUACAUAGCCGACCUGAGAGGGGGAUCGGCCACACUGGGACUGAGACACGGCCCAGACUCCUACGGGAGGCAGCAGUAGGGAAUCUUCGGCGAUGGACGGAAGUCUGACCGAGCAACGCCGCGUGAGUGAAGAAGGUUUUCGGAUCGUAAAGCUCUGUUGUAAGAGAAGAACGAGUGUGAGAGUGGAAAGUUCACACUGUGACGGUAUCUUACCAGAAAGGGACGGCUAACUACGUG